CUGCCAAUUUUCUGUGCCAUAAGCCAUAAAUCACUAGUCUCAUCAACAGUGAGAUCAAUAAAACGCUUCACUUCUCGCCUUGGGCAGACCAGCACAUGACCAGGAACAACAGGACGGAGGUUGACCAUGGCAUAGGAGAGCUCAGAAGAGUAAAAUACUUCCUUCGGCUCAAUUUUGUAGGGCCCGAACAUAUAGUGCUCUGUCGACAUCUUGGUGGCGGCGGUGGAGGAGAUGGGUCGGAACCCUCUGGCGGAGCAACGAGAAAGGCAAUAUCUAGCGUGUGCGUGGGUGAGAGGGAGAGCGA
This 304-nucleotide unclassified non-coding RNA is filed under the name Hevea brasiliensis (rubber tree). The record is from RNAcentral. Lineage: Eukaryota; Viridiplantae; Streptophyta; Magnoliopsida; Malpighiales; Euphorbiaceae.